GACGACGCGGCGGCGGCGGACGCGUGGCCGCCGGUGAGCUGCACGGUGAGCUUCUCCGGCGCGUGCGCCAGCGAGUGCGUGAACUGGAUGUAGCUGAGCCCGUGGCCGAACGGGAGGAUCGUGGGGCCCGUGUAGAAGCGGUAGGUCCGGCUGGGGUACCCGCUCGCCGGGUUGGCGCGCAUCGCCAUGUUCGUCAUCGGCGCCUUCCGCAGGUAGUCCUCAGGGUACCAUGUCACCAGGAGCUUCCCGCCUGCAAACAAAUUUGAAUUGAAAUCUCAAAUUCGCCUCCUUUUCAUGCUGCGAGAUUUGCAGUUUAUUUAAAAUUUGUGACUAAGCUGAUGCACUGAUGAUGGGAGUGAACAAACACACCUGGGUUGUGGUGGCCGAAGAUGACGUCGGCGAUGGCCUGCCCGCCGGCCUGGCCGGGGUACCUGCAUAACCAGGCUUCUCUCCUGCAUAACCAAGCUCCAGCAAUGCUGGAGGUGGUGAUUGGUUGCCUGGCCAGAGCCCUUAGCCAGGCUCCGCCAAUGCAAAAGGAGCUCAUAAGCCAGGCUUACCUGUUACGCACUUCACGACCUUUCUCCGCUAGCUAGGCGCACAGCAACGUGCUCUGGUUCUCUCACCUCCCCAAUGCCUCACCUCUCCUCUCCCGUACCAUCGGCGAACCCAUCGGGUCCAACUCCUCCAUUGCCAGUUUGCUGAAUCUGCGAGUGAAGCCGCCUGUCGUGAAUCCGGAUGUUCCCGCCGCGGUCACUGAAGCUUCAGUCGGCCAUGCUUGACCUCGAAUCGAUGGCGCUGGAGCUCGAUGGGCCGUGAAGGAAGAGGGAGAACCGGAGCUGCAGCAAUUGAGCUUGCGGGAGGAGUCGGAAGAGGUGACGUCAGAUUGAUGGCGCGGGCGGCGCUCUCCUUCAUUGCACGUGCUGGAUUGACACGCAUCUGAGCUUUGGAGGACGGCAGCUGUAGCAGCAAUGGAGGCAUCUCGCGGAGCAGAGCAAUGGAGGUGGUGGAUCUCGCGGAGCCGAAGCACGGAAAGGACUCUGCGAGCCUGCUCUUCUCAUCCACGGCUGCGAUGUCCGAGGGCUUCUCCUGGCGCUGUGCUCGUGCGAAUCGAGGGACGAGAGCCAAGCUGUUUCCCAACCGUAACCUAGCCCUCGCUGCCCUCCCGUCUGGGGUGUGAGUGGGAUAUGAGCUCUGCUAUCCCAUCAACACUCCUUCAGGCUUCUCUUUCUCUAAAGUUUGGUCAAGUCAACUAAGCCGUCAAAUCCAUGGGCUUAAAAAUAUUCAGACAAUCCAUUUUUAGCUGCAUUUCUUGACUAUCUUGCCUUGUAAAAUCUCAGGAAUUGGCCAGCGACAUUUUCCAACAGAUAAAUUUCAAAAUGAAACGACCUGCUUGCACUCUGUACAUUAUUAAAAUUAAUCAUUAUCAUCCCAAGGACCAAGGUUCUCACAUAGACAGAACUUUUUUUUCUCCACAGAAACCUAGGCUAAGUUCAGAGUUUAGUGGGUCACCAACACUCUUAACAGCAGCAAGCUUCAGAGCAUGGCAAAGCCCUCGGUCAGGCAGUCACAGGUCAAGCUUGCUGGAGAGGUACCAGGAGUGCAUGGCCAGGCUGCCGAAGGACAUGAGGCUGGCAAGCGACGACACCACGUGGAUCAUCCUGAACUUCUGGUUCAUUGCUGCCAGGGUGGGGCUCCUCUUCGCCAUCUCCUUGUUCUUGGAGUUCCCGACCUCGCUGCCGAUGCCAAGGUCCUUCUCCAGCUUGUACCUCUUCAUCGUCAUCUGGGUGAAAGAGAGCAAUUCAAUACGCACAAGUGAAAAUGACAGUAUACAAACUACGAAGGGUAGUGCUCAUUGUUCAACCAACCAAAGUACAAGCAUGCAAGGCACAAUUCUUUUUUUUAAAACAAAAAUGUAUAACCCCCACCCUACUCAAAUAGCAGAACACUGUCAUUGUCGAUUUCAGCAAUCAAGAUAUCUCAAUUGUUAAGUUUGCUCUCUAAAACAACAGCCAAGUGAUGUGUACUGCAAUGAAAAACAAUCACCAACCAAAUCUCAGAAACAAUAAGAUGUAUGUUUGAAAGGUUCAGAUACGCAGUCAGGCAUUUAUCCUUGUUUUGUCAAAUUAACUGCCUUCCCACAAAAUGCAUCCACAACUAUGCUUCUAACUUCUAGCCAAGCUAAAUUUUCGCCUCCAAAUGCUAGAUUGCUGACUAUUCAAGGACUAAAUUCUGCUUUAUGCUAUCUGUAUUAAUUCUUGAAAAUAAAAUAAAGAACAAGUCAUAUUCCUGUGAACGCUGCUAGGAAUAGUACUCAGAAAUUGCUGACCUAAAUAACCAUAUAAAUAAUAAUUUACAUCAAAGUAACUUCCUUUUGCCCUACAUACCUCAACUACCGUCAGCAUAGUAAAUCUCAAAUCGCAUAGAAAAAGUGUAAGACUUGCAUUCAUUAGUCAUGAUAUUAUCACAUACUCAAGCUAUAAUUCUGUGAUAUUCUGCGUAACUAGCAUCUUGCAAAUGCAAAACAAGAGGUGCAUAAAAAGCUAAGGCCAUGAACAAAGUAUUUCACCUCAACCAUCAUAGGUGUGAUGACUAGAAGGUUUGACAGGUUACAGCCAAGGGCCAAAAGAAGGAAUCCAAGCUGGUAGCGCUCGACGGUUGAUGCUGUCUUCCAGGGGUGCAGGUAUGCGAAUGCCGCCACAGAUAUGGCUGAACAUGCUGAUAUCAACAUGAAGUACGCCGGGAACAUUUUCCCCUGCAGACUCCCAAACUGGUGCCUCGGUAAGUACCUUCAGAAUAAAAAAUAUUUUAUUAAAACAUUGUCAAAGUUUAGAAUAUGUUCUGAAUGGGAAUGGUCGACCAGCACAGUGGCACAUGGUGGUAUAUUGCUAUUGUAACAACAAUAUAUGGUAGGCUUUAGUUUUCAGGUGGACUUCUCUGUUCUCACUAUAAAUAGGUAAUAUGUAUAAUGCCUAAAAAAAGUAGAAGGUAUAAUUGAACACCUGAGCAAUAUACAUUACCUUCUAGACUCUAAGACUGCACAAACAUAUUACUCCCAAUACGUAACCAACAAACAGAGGAACAACCCCACUUGAUUGCAAAACUGCAGCAGUGGCUACCAGAACAUUCAGAAUGUAUUAUGACAAAACGGUGACAGAAUUCAUCACAGAAUCCACAAGCUUACAUUUCAUCCAAUGUUUCAUGGGAAAUCUAGCACCUAAGAGCUCUCUCCAUACAGCAUAUAUUUCUCGAGACAUCCCAAGUUCAUAAUUUUUGUGGUCCUUCCCAAAGAUUUUUUUUAGGGUCAACGGAAGGCCAAAGUCAUUGCACUUGAGUUUCAGCAAGAAAACAAGCUGGGUGGGGGUUUCUUAUCUGGUUCAGGUUUACAUUGAGCAAAAAACAGAGCACCAGGCUUCAGCAAUCUCACGAUCCUCCAUGCGGAACCGCUGGCUCCAGAGUCGCGUUUCCCAAAGAUUUCAAGGUGCAAUAUUUACUGAAGAACUACUUGAUUCCUCAGAAGUCAGAACUCUUCCCAAUUCGCCGGAGACAACGAUGAUUUGAGUCGCACCCUGCGGCAUGGCCGGAUUGACGGAUUGCCUCAUCGCAUCAGAGAAGACAGGGAGGGUCGCGCCGCCGGAGACGAUUGGAGUCGCAUCAGGAAGGAGGAGAUUCCCAUCGGAGAUCUGGAGGGCUACGCGCACCAGGAGAGGGAACGAAUCGCGUGGUGCGACCGUGUGAGGAGAAGCUCUCUCUCUCUCUCUCCCGUCUCAAAACUUCUUCGAAUUUGGGGACAGUGCUAGUGCCGUUCUCGGCGAGCGACGGGUGGAGCACGGUGAGGACGACGCGGGAGAGACAGAGAGGGACAGGGAGAUAGCGUACGAAGUGGCCGUGGAAGGGAGGAGGACGUCUCCGGCCGGCGGAAUCCAUCGCCGCAGCCGGGGAGGUAUUUUGCAGAUAGCCCCCUAAAAUGGAGAAUAUUUCCCAAACGGCAGCUAGCAACGAAGCGACCCCAAAGUUUCAGCGAACCAACGCGGCGAACGAAGCGGCAGCGUCGCCUGCUUACUUGAACAUGAUGGUGCCGCCGAUGAAGGCGACCCAGAGGCCGGCGCCCCAGGCAGUGGCGAAGGCGAGGAGGUGGACCAGCCUCGCCGCCGCCGCUGCGCCGGAGCCGGAGCCGGAGCCGGAGCCGCCGAGGCGCAGCGCGUCGGGCGCGAAGAGGACCCCCGCGGCGAGGAACGUCACCGCCGUCAGGAACCGCGACGCCCACCCCAUCGCGCGGGCCCUUGGCGCUCAGAACGGCGGCUGCUCCGUCGGGGAGGUCGUGGAGAGUGGGCGGCGAGGACUGGAGGGAGAUCUCGCGUGCGAAGUGCGAGCUGAACUGGGGAGAGGAGCUCUGAGCUUGGAAUGGAAGCGAAAGCGACGAGGAGGCAAGCGAGAAGGUUGGAACGGCCGGGGCCUCUGUCGUUGACCUUCCAGAAGAACUAUGGAACACACUUGCUGGGAAAAAAAGAAAAAAAAAUUCUGCGUCAGAUGCCACAUUGCGCCAUUGACACAUUGUCUAGGCCAGAUUUCUCUUGAAACUUCAGAGAGGAAACAAAUCCAUGGGCUUCAACUUGAAGAAAUUCAGACAGAUUCUGUUGCAAGCUCAAGCUUUUCUACAGCAAAAUUCGGUGGGCCAAGACAAAGGAAGGACCAGCACAUGAUUUUGGACCAGACAGAAGAAACAACUAAUCCGUAGACAGUGUUUCAGUCAGUAGGAGCCUAGGAGGUCUGCAAGCACAGAAGCUCUUGUCAUCUUUCCAGACUCAAACCGCAGAUCAGAGUAAUGACCGUUUUUAUCUGAAUCUCUUUGACCAGUUUACCUGGCUUGUUCAGGGUCUGUUUGGAUACAGGUUCAUAAACUGCCUGUCACAUCGGAUGUUUGGAUACUAAUUAGAAGUAUUAAUAUAGUCUAAUUACAAAACGGUUCUACAGUUAGUUUUAUAAUUAGCACAUGUUUAGUCCUUCUAAUUAGCGUCCGAACAUCCGAUGUGAUCCCUCCUAAAGUUUACUACCCCGCAUCCAAACACCCCCUCAAUCUAAGGCAAGAGUGGAAAGUGCGUGAUAUCACAAGCUUUUUAGGAGUAGUCCCGUUGCAAAGUAGUAAUCUCUAUGUGAAAUGCUUAAAUCUUGACACCAGAAAACACUGACGCUGAGAAAGAAACGACAUUCUUCUGUGUUCCUUCCAUUUUAAUCGUUUGCAAUAAUUUCAACAAAAUUUCAGUAAAUCCGGUGCCUUCUCGAACUUUUGAGAUCUCCAUCUCCACCUUUGCAGAGACAGAAGCAAGCACCGCAGCAAUCACAAUCCAAUCCAAUGACCCCUUCCCAAAACGACACAAAUUAUUCAGACACGCCUCUGAAUCCUCCUACGCUUCGUCGCUUCCUUGCGUUUCGUUCUAUACCCCGCCGAGUUGCUCGACGCCGAGAGUGACCGUGUGCGUGAGCUCGCCGAUCAUCAGGCUGUGCUCGCCGACGGGGAUCCGCCGCACGCCGUCCCGGUCCGCGACGCUCAUCCCCUCGCACACGUCCACGCCCAUCUCCACGCGCGCCACGCCGCCGGCAGGCACGUGCACCUUCUCGAACGCCACCAGCUGCCUCGCCGGCGCGCCGGGAGCGGAAGGCGGCGAGUGGUAGACGAGCACGGUGUGCGCGCCGUCCCGGUCGCCGGCGUUCCUCACGUCGACGUGCACCGGGACGGUCAGGCCCUCGCAGCGCGCGUGCGCCACGCGCACGGCGCUGGCGGAGCGCGUCGCGUUGGGGAAGGACGACGACGCGGCGGCGGCGGACGCGUGGCCGCCGGUGAGCUGCACGGUGAGCUUCUCCGGCGCGUGCGCCAGCGAGUGCGUGAACUGGGUGUAGCUGAGCCCGUGGCCGAACGGGAGGAUCGCGGGGCCCGUGUAGAAGCGGUAGGUCCGGCCGGGGUACCCGCUCGCCGGGUUGGCGCGCAUCGCCAUGUUCGUCAUCGGCGCCUUCCGCAGGUAGUCCUCAGGGUACCAUGUCACCGGGAGCUUCCCGCCUGCAAACAAAUUUGAAUUGAAAAUUCAAAUUAGACUACUUUUCUCGUUGCAAACUUUGAAGUUUAUUUAAAAUUUGUGAUUAUAUAAGCUGAUGGGAGUUAAAUAGUUAAUGUACGUACCUGGGUUAUGGUGGCCGAAGAUGACGUCGGCGAUGGCCUGCCCGCCGGCCUGGCCGGGGUACCCCACCCAGAGGAUGGCGGCGAUCCUCGGAUCGUUCUGCGCGAAGG
RNAcentral lists this long non-coding RNA (6280 nucleotides) under Setaria italica (foxtail millet). RNAcentral's name for it is "long non-coding RNA (SITA_LNC006279)". Lineage: Eukaryota; Viridiplantae; Streptophyta; Magnoliopsida; Poales; Poaceae. The record is from RNAcentral.